RNAcentral lists this long non-coding RNA (7632 nucleotides) under Vitis vinifera (wine grape). Its description in RNAcentral is "long non-coding RNA (VVIN_LNC000843)". The record is from RNAcentral. Lineage: Eukaryota; Viridiplantae; Streptophyta; Magnoliopsida; Vitales; Vitaceae.
UUGCUCAGUAGGGUGCCUAGCACCCAAGGGGUUAAGGGGAUUACUAUGUUUCAAAGAAUACGAAAAGGACACUUCAACACAACAGGAACAAUUCAACAAUAUCAAUCAAUCACAUAGUUUAAUAUAUAAUAUUAUACACAAUUUCACAAUAUUCAACAAUUACAUGAAUGCACAUGAACGUGUGACACACAGUCAUACAAUGCACUAUUGUUCUCGGGCUUUCACCGAAGGAUACGCGUCCGCACCCAAAUACACUCCCCAUUCGGAGUCUUCCCGAGGUAACUUUUGGGUCUUUCACCCUAGGGAUCUCUCUCCCUUCUUAAUUCGCCCCACACGGGCUUCCACUUCUCAUCUCUAUUUCAUUCAUUUAUUUUUUUUUUUCCACAUAACCAUGAUGCAAAUGAAUGCCACAAUUCCAAUGUUCCUCAAUAAUUCAACAAUCUCAACAUGCCCCAAUAAUCCAAUAAAAUAAUUUCACACAUUACAAUUUCCGAUAAUAUCCCAAAUAAAUAUUCAAAAAAAACAAUGCAUAUCAAAAUCUUGAGAUUUUACCACACUUACAAAAUUUUUCAACCAUUAUAAUAAUUUCUAAUGUCCAAAAUUAACUAACUAUUUACCCUAAAAUUUUCGAAAAUAUUCUAACCAAUGCCUAAAAAUUCACAAAUCAUUAUAUUUGCAAUUUAACCCAAAUUUUGGAAUUUUCCAACCCAUCUAAUAAUUUUUUAACAUUUCAAAACAAUUAAUUAUCAAUCAAAAUCAAUUUCUCGAAAUUCCAAAAAUUCCAAACAAAUCCCAAAUAUUCUAGAAAAAUUCAUACAACACUUAUAAUUCCUAAUUAACUCAAAAUGACAAUAUCUAUAAUUUUUUUUCAAGGGAAAAACAUAAAAAUUUAAGUUUUAGGGUUAGGGUCCCCUACCUCAGAUCUGAAAAUUUGGCCGUUAAAAACAAAAUCAGCCACCGUAGGCUUGUUCGUCUAGUCGAAUAGAGUACUUCCUCCAAAUUUGGGCUGAAACGGAGAUCGUUUGGCCGUCCAAACGGCCGAUCAAAAUUCCGGCGAGUGCCCUAAUUUAUGCACAGUAACCUUUCUCUCUCUCACCGUCCCCGCGUGCUGCAAUUCUCCCCCUUUUCCUUUUUUUUUUUUUUACUAACCCUCCAGCCACACAAGCCUGACCCAAACUUCAAAAGCCCAACCCAUUUUUUUUUUCUUUUUAUUAACAGCCCACUAGGCUUUUAAAAGCCACCAGCCACUUAAGCUAAGCCCAACUCAAAAUCUAAGCCCAAUCCAUUAUUAUUGUUAUUAUUUUUCUUUUACAACUGGCCAAUAUUCAAAACCCAAUGAAUAUAUUUUUUUUCUUUUAUUUUCUUUUCUUUAUUCUAAUUGUUUUAUUUGAUUUCCAAUUCUUUUUUUUUUUUUUCAUUUUAACACACAAUUUUAUUUAUUAACACCAAAUAAAAACUAAUUUUUCUCAAUAUUAUUAUUCAUCAAUUUAAUUUAAUUAAUUAAUUUAUUUUUCUUAAUUAAUUCUAAUUAAUCUGAAUUUAUUUAUUUUUCAUUUUCGUUUUCGUUUUUUCGUUUCCGGAAAUUUCCAAUUUCUAAAAUCCUAAGAAAUUUUCUAUCCUAAGGCUGACAUGGCAUAAAAUUUUCAACUCGUUUAAUUGACCGACACAAUAAAACGAACUUUACCAAUCCGAAAUUGACACGUGUUCUCCAAACACUUUUCUUUUUGACUUUUCAACCAUCACAUAAAAUAAGACUUUUCAAACUAAAAAUGCUAACGUGGCAUAAAAUACCCGGUCAUUACAUCCUACCCCCCUAAAAGAAAUUUCGUCCCGAAAUUUAAACUAGCUUACCUUAAAAUUCGUAGAAGAGUUGUGGAUAGUGUCGUCUUAUUUCUUCCUCAGGUUCCCAAGUGGCUUCUUCUAUCCCAUGGUGUUGCCACCACACUUUGACUGCAGGAAUCACCUUGUUCCUGAACCUAUGCUCUCCAACUUCCAGAAUUCGUAAAGGUUCCUCCACAUAAGAUGUAUCUUCACUAAUCUGAACAUCUUGCAUGUCCACUACCCAAGUUGGAUCUGGAGUACACUUCCUUAGCAUUGACACAUGGAAAACAUCAUGCACAAGGGACAACUGCUGAGGCAAAAUUAACUUGUAUGCCAUUGGGCCAACUCUCUUAUCAAUCUGAAAUGGUCCCACAAACCUAGGGGCUAACUUCCCCUUCUUCCCAAAUCGAAAUAUGCCUCUUCGAGGGGACACUUUUACAAACACCCAAUCCCCUUCCUCAAACUCCAAGGGCCUUCUCCUUUUGUCUGCAUAACUUUUCUGUCUAUCUUGGGCAGUCUUAAGUUUUUCCUUGAUGAGUUGUAUCUUCUCUGUAGUCUCUUGGACAAUCUCAGGUCCUAACAAAUGACUCUCACCCAUCUCUAUCCAACAUAAGGGCGAUCUACAAGGUCUCCCAUAGAGUGCUUCAUAAGGUGCCAUACCAAUACUAGAUUGGUAACUGUUGUUAUAAGCAAACUCUGCCAAAGGUAAGUAAUCUGCCCAAUUUCCUCCAAAAUCCAAAACACAAGCCCUUAACAUGUCUUCUAAGAUCUGGAUCACUCUCUCUGAUUGACCAUUUGUCUGAGGGUGAAAAGCGGUGCUAAAAUUCAGUUGGGUGCCCAAAGCCCUUUGUAAACUCUGCCAAAACUGAGAAGUAAACUUAAGGUCCCUAUCAGACACUAUAGAUACAGGUAUCCCAUGCAAUCUCACAAUCUCUUGUAUAUACAACUUAGCCAAAGAGUUCAUGGAAUCAGUAUUUUUCAUGGCUAGAAAAUGAGCUGACUUAGUAAGACGGUCCACAAUCACCCAAACUCCAUUUUUCUUGCUUCUAGUUCUUGGCAACCCUAUCACAAAGUCCAUAGUGAUAUUAUCCCACUUCCACUCAGGUAUAGGUAAAGGUUGCAACAACCCUGCAGGCCUCUGGUGUUCAGCCUUCACUUGCUGACAAAUCUGACAAUUAGCUACAAACUGAGCAAUAUCUCUCUUCAUCCCACUCCACCAAAACUACCUCUUUAAGUCUUGAUACAUCUUGGUAUUCCCAGGGUGGAUGAUAUACUUCGCCCUAUGAGCAUCUGCUAGAAGUUCAUUUCUCAACUCCACAUCUUUUGGCACACACAAUCUCCCUUUGAACCUCACACUCCCAUCUUCAUACAUAGACCAAUUUUCAUCUAUUUCACCUACUACCAACUGGGCUUUAACCUUUUCUAAAAACUCAUCAUGAACUUGGGCCUCCACUAUUCUAUGGAUAACCAUUGGUCUAGCUGAUAUGCUGUACAAGCAUGGACCGCGUCCUUUUUGACUAAGACAUAGCUCAAAGUCCUCAAUAACUGCAUGCAUCUCAAACUCUCUCAACCCCAAGCUAGACAACUGGCCAUAGCUCUUUCUACUCAAGGCAUCUGCUACAACAUUCGCCUUCCCAGGAUGGUAAUGAAGGGCAAAAUCAUAAUCUUCCAAUGUCUCCAUCCAUCUCCUCUGCCUAGAGUUCAGUUCCUUUUGAGUGAAAAUGUAUUUCAAACUCUUAUGAUCAUAGUACACCUCAAACUUCUCUCCAUACAAAUAGUGUCUCCAAGUCUUAAGGGCAAACACCACUGCUGCAAGCUCCAAAUCAUGUGCUGGAUAAUUCCGCUCAUGCUGCUUUAAUUGUCUUGAGGCAUAAGCUACCACCUUGCCUUGCUGCAUUAGCACACACCCUAACCCCACUGUGGAAGCAUCACAAUAAAUUGUAAACAACUCUCCACUAAUAGGAGCAGUUAACACUGGAGCAGUGGUCAAUUUCCGCUUCAACUCUUGGAAAGCAUUCUCACACUCCUCAUUCCAAUCAAACUUCACCCCUUUUCUAGUCAACCGAGUCAUUGGUGCUGCAAUUCUAGAGAAGUCUUCCACAAACCUCCUAUAAUAUCCAGCCAACCCCAAGAAACUUCUAACCUCAAAUACAUUGGUAGGCCUUUGCCACUCCUGUACAGCUUCCACCUUUGAAUGGUCUACUGCUAUUCCUGCCUCAGAAACCACAUGGCCUAAGAAGUUCACUUCAGUAAGCCAAAACUCACUUUUGUCCAACUUCCCAUACAACUGAUGUCUUCUCAAAGUUCUAAGGGUGGUCACCAAAUGUUGCUUAUGCUCCUCCAAACUCCUGGAGUAGAUCAAGAUGUCAUCCACAAAGACAAUCACAAACUGAUCCAAGUAAGCACGAAAUACCCUGUUCAUUAAAUCCAUGAAAGCAGCGGGGGCAUUAGUUAACCCAAAAGGCAUGACUAAGAACUCAUAAUGCCCAUAUCUCGUUCUAAAAGCAGUUUUAGAAACAUCUUCUUCCCUAACCCUCAGUUGAUGAUACCCAGUUCUCAAGUCAAUCUUACUAAAAUACUUUGCACCCUUCAACUGAUCAAACAAGUCAUCUAUCCUUGGAAGAGGAUACUUGUUCUUCACAGUAACUCUAUUCAACUUCCUAUAGUCAAUACAUAACCUUAGUGUGCCAUCCUUCUUCUUCACAAACAAAACUGGGGCUCCCCAUGGCGAUGUACUUGGACGAAUAAAACCCUUACCCAACAAUUCAUCUAACUGAGUUUUCAAUUCCUUCAACUCAAGAGGGGCCAUCCUAUAAGGGGAUACUGAAAUAGGAUCAGUUCCUGGGUAUACUUCAAUAGAGAAAUCAAACUCUCUAUGCGGUGGUAAACCUGGUAACUCAUCUGGGAAUACAUCCUAAAACUUCCUCACCACUGGAAUUUCUGUAAUGUCCUUCUGGGCUUUCUCCUUACCACGAAGGCAAGCUAGGAAAUUUAUUGAUCAUUUCCUCAACACAUACUGAUAGCACGGAUCGGACUGCGAAAAAGGCAAACUAACACACUUCCCUCCAACAAAACAAACCUCAAAUCCCUCUGGCAAACAAAAUAUUAUCCUGCGGCGAUGACAAUCAAUAACCGCUCUAUACACUGCCAACCAAUCCAUUCCCAAAAUAACACCAUACCCAAUCAUAUCCAAAAUCCUCAAAUCCACAUUUAGUGCUCUAUCUGCCAAGGUAAUAACACACCCCUUGCAUAUUCUAUCAACUCUAGAGUUCGUACCCAUAGGAGACUCAAUAAGUAACAAAUUCUCUACCCUUUCUGAUUUCAACCCCAAUGCAUUAGCACAAGAUACAGAAAUGAAAGAAUGAGUUGCACCAGUAUCAAACAAAACACGCACCCAAGUACUAUAUACCAAAAUCAUACCUUCCACUAAAAGGGCAUCCUCCUCUGGCUCUGUUGAGGUCAAGGCAAAAACUCUUCCUGCUGCCUGCCUUCCCCUACCUUUAGCAUUCGACCCUUGAGAAGAGCGGGUCUGACUCGUGGUAGUUGUCCUGGUUCCUUGCGCUGCUGGGGGUAAUUGUGGCAUCUGAUAGUAAGGCAACUGAAACUGAGGGGGCUGGAAAGACACUACUGACUGUUGCUGAGAACUUCCCUGAGACUGAGGUCGAGCCUGCUGUGUGCCUCGCAAUGGGCAAGCCCUCCAUAAAUGGUCUCCUGCUCCACAACCAUAACAUACUCUAUUAGCAGCCGCCCUCUGAGCAAUCUACCCCUCUCCUGCAUAGAACGAGGAACGCCUCUCAAACUACUGAGUCCUCUGCCUCUGCUGUGGCCCCUGGGAACUUUCCCCCAUUCUUUGUUUCCCUUUUCUGUCCCCCUUUUGCUCUCGAAUUUGGUUGGUUUCGUCAAUGUCCUGCUCCACCAACAAAGCCCUCUUAACCAACUCAGAAUAAUCCCUUAUUGCCAGUGAGACUAAUCUGUUCCUAAUAGCAGGCCUCAACCCCUGCUGGAACCUCCUAGUCUUUUCUCCUUCCUCACUGAUCAUCCUCAAAGCAAAACGAGACAACUCUGAGAAACGUGACUCAUACUCCAGCACUGACAUGGUUCCUUGGAUGAGGUGCUCAAACUCCAUCCUCUUGGCAUGCUUAGCCACUUCCCCAAAAUACUUGCCUAGGAAGAUUCUCUCAAAUUCCUCCCAAGUCAUAACCUCAGUGUCAUACACCCUUUUCAUUGAUUCCCACCAGAAAUCAGCUUUGUCCACAAGCAUAUAUGCUGCCAAACCUACCCUUCUUUCCUCAGGUAUGUCCAGUCCCACCAGAAUUCUUCUCAUCCUCCUCAACCAAUGCUCAGCUGCUUCAGCACUAGGCUCUCCAUUAAAAGAUGGAGGUUGCAUCACCAUGAACCUCUUCAUUGCUUCCAUUUGGCUCAUUACUGGCCUCUCAGUGCGGCUCCUCCUAUGUGAGUGACCUGAAUCCUCAUGGCCCUGGGUACCUCCUGCUCUCCUGGAACCCUGGCCUCUCAUCAAUUCAAUAGUUUCUCUCAACUCUCUUCUUACUUCUCGGAGUUCUUCUCUUACCGUCUCCAACUCCUUAUUCCUCUCUGAUCUUCCUCCUCUGGUCCUUCCCGCCAUUUCAAGUCUAACAAACCCUAAUUCAAUCACAUUACUAAGGUGAGCAAAAAUAAAUUUCACAUAUACACACUUAGCAACUUCAACAAUUAUCAAAACUUUCACUUUCAUACACUCACAAUACAUAAUUCAAUUAAUCAUCAACUUGUUGAUUAACACAUACAAAAAUCAUAACAUUAUAACAACACACAUAAACACCCACAAACAUUGACCCCAAGGUAUUAUCGCAACCUUGGCUCUGAUACCACGCUGUCACGACCCAAAUUUCGGGCGACCCAAAAUUUGACCCGUGACCCCAGGUCAAAGGUUUGACCCUAGACCCUAGGUCAAAGGUUUGACCCUAAGGGUUCCUCCUAUUCCAUGUUGGCAGUCAACCAAAACACUCUGGAUUUUUUUUUUUCAUACAUCUCACUAGAAUUCUCAUAAAUUACAAUAUCCCAAACCUACUCAAAACAACAAGAUUAAAUAAAUAUUCAUUAUAGUCCAAAAUAAAAGUUCACAAUUAACAACUUAAUCAAAUAAAGCUUCAUAGCAAAUCCAUGAGUCAUAAUUGCUAAAACAAAUCCCCAAAAUCCAAAAAGGAACACAAUAACAAAUAAAUGCCACGCUCCACUAGGCCGCUCCAGGAGCAUCCUGAAGUCCUCCCUGUCCCACCUGUGGAUCCUUAGGAGAGAUAUCUGCAUCUAAAAAGGUGUAACAAGGAAGGGGUGAGCAUUUCCACAUUGCUCAGUAGGGUGCCUAGCACCCAAGGGGUUAAGGGGAUUACUAUGUUUCAAAGAAUACGAAAAGGACACUUCAACACAACAGGAACAAUUCAACAAUAUCAAUCAAUCACAUAGUUUAAUAUAUAAUAUUAUACACAAUUUCACAAUAUUCAACAAUUACAUGAAUGCACAUGAACGUGUGACACACAGUCAUACACUGCACUAUUGUUCUCGGGCUUUCAUCGAAGGAUACGCGUCCGCACCCAAAUACACUCCCCAUUCGGAGUCUUCCCGAGGUAACUUUUGGGUCUUUCACCCUAGGGAUCUCUCUCCCUUCUUAAUUCACCCCACACGGGCUUCCACUUCUCAUCUCUAUUUCAUUCAUUUAUUUUUUUUUUUUCACAUAACCAUGAUGCAAAUGAAUGCCACAAUUCCAAUGUUCCUCAAUAAUUCAACAAUCUCAACAUGCCCCAAUAAUCCAAUAAA